UACGUAGGGUGCGAGCGUUGUCCGGAAUUAUUGGGCGUAAAGAGCUCGUAGGCGGUGUGUCACGUCGGCCGUGAAAACCUGCAGCUUAACUGUGGGCGUGCGGUCGAUACGGGCAUCACUGGAGUUCGGCAGGGGAGACUGGAAUUCCUGGUGUAGCGGUGAAAUGCGCAGAUAUCGGGAGGAACACCGGUGGCGAAGGCGGUUCUCUGGGCCUUACCUGACGCUGAGGAGCGAAAGCGUGGGGAGCGAACAGG
Molecule: ribosomal RNA, 254 nt
Filed under: uncultured bacterium
Lineage: Bacteria
Description: partial 16S ribosomal RNA
Rfam family: Bacterial small subunit ribosomal RNA
Source: RNAcentral